This 519-nucleotide ribosomal RNA is filed under the name uncultured bacterium. RNAcentral's name for it is "bacterial SSU rRNA". It matches the Rfam family "Bacterial small subunit ribosomal RNA", at positions 8 to 526 of the family's 1533-position model. The record is from RNAcentral.
AGAGUUUGAUCCUGGCUCAGGAUGAACGCUGGCGGCGUGCCUAACACAUGCAAGUCGAACGGAGCGCGGAUGCCGAAUUUUUCGGAAGGAGGCAUGCGCAGCUGAGUGGCGGACGGGUGAGUAACGCGUGGGCAACCUGCCCCGUACCGGGGGAUAACAGCCGGAAACGGCUGCUAAUACCGCAUGAGCGCACAGUGCCGCAUGGCACGGUGUGAAAAACCACGGUGGUACGGGAUGGGCCCGCGUCUGAUCAGCCAGUUGGCGGGGUAACGGCCCACCAAAGCCGCGAUCAGUAGCCGGCCUGAGAGGGCGGACGGCCACAUUGGGACUGAGACACGGCCCAGACUCCUGCGGGAGGCAGCAGUGGGGAAUAUUGCACAAUGGGGGAAACCCUGAUGCAGCGACGCCGCGUGAGCGAGGAAGUAUUUCGGUAUGUAAAGCUCUGUCAGCAGGGAAGAAAGAUGACGGUACCUGACCAAGAAGCACCGGCUAAAUACGUGCCAGCCGCCGCGGUAAUAC